CAGCAGCCGCGGUAAUACAGAGGGGGCAAGCGUUGUUCGGAAUUACUGGGCGUAAAGGGCGCGUAGGCGGCCCGCUAAGUCGAACGUGAAAUCCCCGAGCUCAACUCGGGAACUGCGUCCGAUACUGGCGGGCUUGAAUCCGGGAGAGGGAUGCGGAAUUCCAGGUGUAGCGGUGAAAUGCGUAGAUAUCUGGAGGAACACCGGUGGCGAAGGCGGCAUCCUGGACCGGCAUUGACGCUGAGGCGCGAAAGCUAGGGGAGCAAACGGGAUUAGAUACCCCGGUAGUCCUAGCCCUAAACGAUGAAUGCUUGGUGUGGCGGGUAUCGAUCCCUGCCGUGCCGAAGCUAACGCAUUAAGCAUUCCGCCUAGGGAGUACGGUCGCAAGGCUGAAACUCAAAG
Molecule: ribosomal RNA, 399 nt
Filed under: uncultured bacterium
Lineage: Bacteria
Description: bacterial SSU rRNA
Rfam family: Bacterial small subunit ribosomal RNA
Source: RNAcentral